RNAcentral lists this ribosomal RNA (1004 nucleotides) under human gut metagenome. Its description in RNAcentral is "bacterial LSU rRNA". It matches the Rfam family "Bacterial large subunit ribosomal RNA", at positions 1926 to 2925 of the family's 2925-position model. The record is from RNAcentral.
AACGGCGGCCGUAACUAUAACGGUCCUAAGGUAGCGAAAUUCCUUGUCAGGUAAGUUCUGACCCGCAUGAAAGGCGUAAUGAUUUGGGCACUGUCUCGACAGCCCGCCCGGCGAAAUUGUAGUACCGGUGAAGAUGCCGGUUACCCGCGACAAGACGGAAAGACCCCAUGGAGCUUUACUGUAGCCUAAUAUUGGGUUUCGAUGUUGCAUGCACAGGAUAGAUGGGACACAGGGAAACAAGUGCUUUGGCAUUUGUGGAGUGGCCGUUGGGAUACCAUCCUUGCGAUAUUGGAAUUCUAACCUGCGCCUUUGAAUCAAGGCGGGGGACAUUGUUAGGUGGGCAGUUUGACUGGGGCGGUCGCCUCCUAAAGAGUAACGGAGGCGUUCAAAGGUUCGCUCAGCUUGAACGGAAAUCAAGCAAAAGAGUGCAAACGCAGAAGCGAGCCUAACUGCGAGACUGACGGGUCGAGCAGUAACGAAAGUUGGAGUUAGUGAUCCGGUGGUAUGUGAGUGGAAAUGCCAUCGCUCAACGGAUAAAAGUUACCCUGGGGAUAACAGGCUGAUCUCCCCCAAGAGUCCACAUCGACGGGGAGGUUUGGCACCUCGAUGUCGGCUCAUCGCAUCCUGGGGCUGUAUUCGGUCCCAAGGGUUUGGCUGUUCGCCAAUUAAAGCGGUACGCGAGCUGGGUUCAGAACGUCGUGAGACAGUUCGGUCCCUAUCUGUCGUGGGCGCAGGAUAUUUGAUGGGAGCUGUUCCUAGUACGAGAGGACCGGAGCGGACGUACCUCUGGCGCACCAGUUGUUCUGCCAAGAGCAUAGCUGGGCAACUAUGUACGGAUCGGAUAAACGCUGAAAGCAUCUAAGCGUGAAGCCGACCCAAAGAUAAGAUAUCCCAUUGUUUCAAACAAGUAAGACCCCUUGAAGACUACAAGGUUGAUAGGCACGAUGUGUAAGUGGAGCGAUCCAUUCAGCAAGCGUGUACUAAUAGGUCGAGGGCUUGACCAC